UGACCUUGGACCAUACCCUACCCGCCCUGAGCCUCAGCCUUCCAGUCUGCAAAAUGGGGCUGGGCUGCCUCAUCGCCUGACCCUUUGGUCCUCCUUAGAGACAGGAGAAGGUUGGAGCCAUUGAUGUCUAGGCAGAGGGACGUGUACCCACUGCUGGACCAAGUGGAAACCCUCCUCAGAAAAGAAUCUUCAUCCAUUAACCAGUGAGGAAAAGGCAAGCAAUAGAAUAAUG
Molecule: long non-coding RNA, 232 nt
Organism: Lagenorhynchus albirostris (white-beaked dolphin)
Lineage: Eukaryota; Metazoa; Chordata; Mammalia; Artiodactyla; Delphinidae
Exons: 3
Source: RefSeq, a predicted model, not a curated record